RNAcentral lists this ribosomal RNA (253 nucleotides) under uncultured bacterium. Its description in RNAcentral is "partial 16S ribosomal RNA". It matches the Rfam family "Bacterial small subunit ribosomal RNA", at positions 524 to 776 of the family's 1533-position model. The record is from RNAcentral.
UACGUAGGGUGCGAGCGUUAAUCGGAAUUACUGGGCGUAAAGUGUGCGCAGGCGGCCGCGCAAGUCGAGUGUGAAAGCCCCCGGCUUAACUGGGGAGGGUCAUUCGAUACUGUUCGACUCGAAGGCAGGAGAGGGAAGUGGAAUUCCCGGUGUAGUGGUGAAAUGCGCAGAUAUCAGGAGGAACACCGGUGGCGAAGGCGGGUCUCUGGGCCAUAACUGACGCUGAGGAGCGAAAGCGUGGGGAGCGAACAGG